Molecule: long non-coding RNA, 316 nt
Organism: Melopsittacus undulatus (budgerigar)
Lineage: Eukaryota; Metazoa; Chordata; Aves; Psittaciformes; Psittaculidae
Exons: 3
Source: RefSeq, a predicted model, not a curated record
AAAUAUGAGAAGAUCCUCCAAAAGGCCCAAGAAAAGCUGGACAAAGGCAGCCAGAGAGACGAGGCCAUUGCUCUGGGGGAGGCUGUGGCAGCCGAGCCCCGCAUGGACGACUCGGGCACCAUGUGGGAUGCUCAGCUGCAGAUGCAGAUGGAGGAGAUGCUGAUGGAGGAACAUGCCGUGGAGCAGCAGAAAGCUCUCAGCUCCCGUCCCCCGGAGGACACUGCCUUUCACCAGCGUGUACAUCGGAGGCUUCUCAAAGCUGAGCUGCCCGAAUACAUCCUGGACCUUGGCUAUGUCGUUCCCGGUGACAUCCACA